CCCUUAGACGUUCUGGGCCGCACGCGCGCUACACUGACCAGUGCAACAAGCAUCCGUCCUUGGCCGACAGGCCCGGGCAAUCUUUGAACGCUGGUCGUGAUGGGGAUAGACUUUUGCAAUUUUUGGUCUUCAACGAGGAAUUCCUAGUAAACGCAAGUCAUCAACUUGCAUUGAUUACGUCCCUGCCCUUUGUACACACCGCCCGUCGCACCUACCGAUUGAAUGGUCCGGUGAAGCCUCCGGAUUGGCGCGCACCUCGGUGCUGCCGAGAAGUUGGCUAAACCUUACCAUUUAGAGGAAGGUGAANUCGUANCA
Molecule: ribosomal RNA, 315 nt
Filed under: uncultured eukaryote
Lineage: Eukaryota
Description: partial 18S ribosomal RNA
Rfam family: Eukaryotic small subunit ribosomal RNA
Source: RNAcentral